CCAGACCACAAACCCUAGCCGCCUGCCGCUCGCCGGAGAAGACGAACCAGAAGCCGGACGCCGCCACCCGCCGCCGCACCGGGAAAUUUUCGACCGCCGAUCGAGGUAAAUUUCGUACCCCCGACUCAUUUUUCCAUGCUGAUUCCUCCUGUGGCCAAAUCGGAGCCAAAAUCCUGGCCAAACGGCCGGAAUACACGGCC
This 200-nucleotide long non-coding RNA is filed under the name Carica papaya (papaya). RNAcentral describes it as "long non-coding RNA (CPAP_LNC001487)". The record is from RNAcentral. Lineage: Eukaryota; Viridiplantae; Streptophyta; Magnoliopsida; Brassicales; Caricaceae.